GCCCGGUUAGCUCAAUUGGUUAGAGCAUGACUCGUUUAUAGUUUGCAGGAAGGUUGCGGGUUCGAAUCCUGUACUGGGCA
Molecule: transfer RNA, 80 nt
Filed under: Ophiocordyceps sinensis
Lineage: Eukaryota; Fungi; Ascomycota; Sordariomycetes; Hypocreales; Ophiocordycipitaceae
Also listed under: 1 other name
Rfam family: tRNA
About the family: Transfer RNA (tRNA) molecules are approximately 80 nucleotides in length. Their secondary structure includes four short double-helical elements and three loops (D, anti-codon, and T loops).
Source: Rfam by way of RNAcentral